AACCCUAGCCAAUAGACCUACGGCGUAAAGCGUGUUUAAGAUAACUGAACAAUAAAGUUGAACUCUAGCUAUGCCGUAAAAAGCCGCAGCUUCCGUAAACUCCACUACGAAAGUGACUUUAAAAAUCUGAAUACACGAUAGCUAAGACCCAAACUGGGAUUAGAUACCCCACUAUGCUUAGCCCUAAACUUAAAGAAUCCAUAUAACAAGAUUCUUCGCCAGAGUACUACUAGCCAAAGCUUAAAACUCAAAGGACUUGGCGGUGCUUCACAUCCUUCUAGAGGAGCCUGUUCUAUAAUCGAUAAACCCCGAUAAACCUCACCAACCCUUGCCAACU
Molecule: ribosomal RNA, 337 nt
Filed under: Anoura geoffroyi (Geoffroy's tailless bat)
Lineage: Eukaryota; Metazoa; Chordata; Mammalia; Chiroptera; Phyllostomidae
Description: partial 12S ribosomal RNA
Rfam family: Bacterial small subunit ribosomal RNA
Source: RNAcentral